CUCUGGUUCGACGAAUAGAUCCAGGGCGGAAAGAG
Molecule: non-coding RNA, 35 nt
Organism: Paenibacillus chitinolyticus NBRC 15660
Lineage: Bacteria; Bacillati; Bacillota; Bacilli; Caryophanales; Paenibacillaceae
Source: Rfam